Eptesicus fuscus (big brown bat) is the source of this 526-nucleotide long non-coding RNA. RefSeq lists it as uncharacterized. NCBI's taxonomy places the organism in Eukaryota, Metazoa, Chordata, Mammalia, Chiroptera, Vespertilionidae. The transcript is spliced from 3 exons. The record is from RefSeq and is a predicted model, not a curated record.
GGUCGUGUGGGGAAACAGCAAAAAGGUAGCCAUCUGCAGACCAGAGAGAGUGCCCAAUCAUACUGGCUCCUGAACUUAGAUUUCCAGUCUCCAGAACGGAUCAAGAGGCUGAACCACAUAAAAAGGAUUCUCUCCUUAGAGGGAGACUUUCAUGUCUCACCCCAUUGCUAAAGGAGAAAAGCAGCAAGAAUGGUCAGUGAGUCAAUCAACAAAUAUUGACUGUACUUCCCAAGGACCAGGCACUGAUUCAGCCACUGAAGAUAUAACCAUGAAGACAAUGAACAGAGUACUUGCCCCAAGAAACUUCUAUUCUGAUGGACAGAAACAUAUAGUACACAUGUAGUGGGGAAAAUCAGAUAAUUUCAAAUACUGCCAAGUGCUCUGAAGAAGUUGAAAUAAGAUUAUUUUCAGAAUGGAACCAAUUUUCAAGAGACAAUAAAAGUCAACAGUUAUCAUGAGAAUUGCUGAACACCACAGAAUUAAUAACAACGAGGCUGACUCAGACUUGAAGAGGCUGACAUCCCAG